CCUCUUUCAAGGUACUUUUGGCUUCAGUAGAGCCAGAUUAAAGCAGAUCUGAAAAUUCUGUUGCCUAAAUGUGCCUGUGCCACCUGGCCAGUGCUGUACUCCUGGACAUCUCACCUCUCUGCAGGUUGGCCAGAAGAUGAAGAGCUUUGCACCUGAUUUCAAAGGGAACGCUCAAAUGACAAUUUUUACUUACUAUAUUUCUAUUAUUCCUAGUAGUCUUAUUUGCUAUUAUUAUAUUGUAAUUAUUUUUUUGCCCCCCUUUUAGUUGGAGGCCAACUACAGAUUUUUAUCAUUCUGGCCAGUCAGUGUUUGCCAGUGUUGCCAGCCAAGCCCGUCUUCUUGACAUCAUCCCCAUGAGCAGCAGGUGGGAGCAUCACCAGCCCCAGCUUAAGGCUCCGUAACAAGCCUUCCAAGGUGACCUUGCACUAGUCCCUCCCAUAAAGGUGCUGACCAUGAAAAACUGCUCCAAAACCUCAAACAUCAUCACUUAAGAGAGUUCAAGACUGCUGCUGAGCCAACUGACAGGUGAGAAUAACCAUCUGCCUCUUCAUAACACCACAAACACAUGAAAAAAAAAAGAAAGCCAAGAUCUGACCUACAGAGCACAAACACCACCACAUGAGCCCUGUACAAGGCUGUGCUUGUAAUGAAGGAGGAAAUGAUACAAAAGACAAGAUGCUGAAUGCUCCUCAGCUCGGCACACUUUUCCAGCCCUUCUUUCAAAAUCCCUAAGGGACUGCUCCAAUUGUUGGGAUUUUUAAAUUUCACUUGAAUGGGAAGAAGUCCAUGUCUGGUUUUAUGUUUUUUAAAUGUAUUUUAUUUUUAUUUUGAUGGGCAGAAUUGCAUGUUUGUCUCCUGAAAUGACUAUUCACGUCUGCUUAGCUCUGCUUUGGGUUGGUUUGGUUGGGUUUUUUCCCUUUAGCCUGUAGCCUGCCCUCUCAUUUCAUGCUCAGAUCCCUAAUGCUGAGUACAAAUUGCAAUGUACAGGGUACCACUGCCAAUUUGCCAAAUGUCUUUCAUCAAACACUGUGAAAAAAAAAAAAAUAAAUCUCAGAGGGAAGUCAAGAUACAUUUACUUGUCAGGCAACAAAUGUGAAAGCAUUGCGAGGCAGUAGGGGCUGCAAGCUCUGGGGUUUGAUUCAUAAUCACUCAGCUGCUAAAACAUUCUCCACAGAUGCAAGUGGACAGCACAUUUGUCAAUAUGAAGGAUUCUGACACAUACUGAUCACGGGUGUGAGAUAUGUAAUGAUGAUGCUGCUGGGAGAGGAGGAUUUUGCAGAGGACAAACUGAGACCAACUCUUCUGUACUGUGUAGCAAGGCAGAUCAGUGCUACCUCCUGGGCUUCCAGGAUGACAUCAGCCCCAAAAUAGGUAUGAAAUCAGCAGCUAAUCUUAAAUCCCUCAUUCAGAGGAAACACAAGCACUUCCAAUUAUUUUAAAGUAUUACUUGCUUUCCAAAAAUAUGUUUCUCACCAUAGGAAUUACUAUUGUGCUUGGGGUUUGUUUUUGGGGGGGGCUUGUUUUUGUGUUUUGUUUGUUGGUUUUUUUUUAAGACUGAUCUGUGCAGUUACCUGGUAUGAUUUAUAUUUUCAAGAAAUGCACCAGCAACAACGGGAAGUGCCUGGCCCCAAGCCUUUGCUGAUACGAGGCAGUGUCAUUCCACUGCUGUCAGGAUAAUUAUAGCUGUUACCUUCAGCUGGAGAUAGGGCUCACAAGAAGUAAAACUGGGGCGUUUGCUUGGAAGUCCUGGAGCAUUCUGGUGCUCAGGGCCUUCAGGAUGCGAUUCCCUAUCGUGAGAUGGGCUUGUUACAGCCCAUAAAACCCUGCCAGCCCAGCCCCACACCAAGUUCUCAAACAGUUUAUAUGCAGGUAGGCAGCCCCUGCUCAUCAGUCUACUUGAAAAAUAUUAACAGAGAAAUAAGACAUUUCAGGCACCAAAACCAAGUAGGAAUGAUAAACCUGCAACAUGUACUUUCCAGAAGCUGGUACCCUGGCUCGGAACAGCGGCCCCAGGGGAUGUGCUGGAGGGUGGGCAAGGGACAGACCUUUUUCCCAGUGUCUUCUGUCACACACCAGCAC
Long non-coding RNA from Apus apus (common swift), 2079 nucleotides. RefSeq lists it as uncharacterized. The record is from RefSeq and is a predicted model, not a curated record. The transcript is spliced from 3 exons. Lineage: Eukaryota; Metazoa; Chordata; Aves; Apodiformes; Apodidae.